This 85-nucleotide transfer RNA is filed under the name Opitutaceae bacterium. Its description in RNAcentral is "tRNA-Leu". It matches the Rfam family "tRNA". Rfam says of the family: Transfer RNA (tRNA) molecules are approximately 80 nucleotides in length. Their secondary structure includes four short double-helical elements and three loops (D, anti-codon, and T loops). Lineage: Bacteria; Pseudomonadati; Verrucomicrobiota; Opitutia; Opitutales; Opitutaceae. The record is from RNAcentral.
GCCCAGGUGGUGGAAUUGGCAGACACGCAGGUCUCAGAAGCCUGUGCCUCGCGGCGUGCGGGUUCGACUCCCGCCUUGGGCACCA